Molecule: long non-coding RNA, 388 nt
Organism: Parus major (Great Tit)
Lineage: Eukaryota; Metazoa; Chordata; Aves; Passeriformes; Paridae
Exons: 2
Source: RefSeq, a predicted model, not a curated record
CGGCACACCUGGCCAGGCGCUGCCAGCCCAGGGCCACGUCAGCUCGGCUCCGCUCCACAACACCGGCUCACAGAAAAGCAGCUAAAUCCAGCAUAAGAGCUCAUCCUUUUUCCAGACAUCAGUGAAACACCACAGGAGAAGUUGUGAGCUUGGCUGUACAGUGUUGGACUCAUGGAGUAUAACUGGUGACAGCUGCUGGCACACUGCCUGGCUGCCUCAAGCCGUGGGAUCCUGUGGAGGGUCCACUCCUGACCUGGGGGACAGAGACUCGACAGCACACCACAAGUGCAUAUGGCAGCUGGAGCCAUGGGUGACAGGGAACAACCUGGCCAGAUGUGUCUUUUUGGAACUGUUAUCACUUUUCUUCAUUAUAAGCCUCUCCACUAAA